RNAcentral lists this ribosomal RNA (253 nucleotides) under uncultured bacterium. RNAcentral's name for it is "partial 16S ribosomal RNA". It matches the Rfam family "Bacterial small subunit ribosomal RNA", at positions 524 to 776 of the family's 1533-position model. The record is from RNAcentral.
UACGUAGGGGGCAAGCGUUGUCCGGAAUCAUUGGGCGUAAAGCGCGUGUAGGCGGCUCGAUAAGUCUGCUGUGAAAGUCCAGGGCUCAACCCUGGGAUGCCGGUGGAUACUGUCGAGCUCGAGUCCGGAAGAGGCGAGUGGAAUUCCCGGUGUAGCGGUGAAAUGCGCAGAUAUCAGGAGGAACACCAAUGGCGAAGGCAGCUCGCUGGGACGUGACUGACGCUGAGACGCGAAAGCGUGGGGAGCAAACAGG